This 834-nucleotide ribosomal RNA is filed under the name Flavobacterium glaciei. RNAcentral describes it as "bacterial SSU rRNA". It matches the Rfam family "Bacterial small subunit ribosomal RNA", at positions 85 to 922 of the family's 1533-position model. Lineage: Bacteria; Pseudomonadati; Bacteroidota; Flavobacteriia; Flavobacteriales; Flavobacteriaceae. The record is from RNAcentral.
GAACCAGAGACCGGCGCACGGGUGCGUAACGCGUAUGCAAUCUACCUUUCACAGAGGGAUAGCCCAGAGAAAUUUGGAUUAAUACCUCAUAGUAUUAUAGAAUGGCAUCAUUUUAUAAUUAAAGUCACAACGGUGAAAGAUGAGCAUGCGUCCCAUUAGCUUGUUGGUAAGGUAACGGCUUACCAAGGCAACGAUGGGUAGGGGUCCUGAGAGGGAGAUCCCCCACACUGGUACUGAGACACGGACCAGACUCCUACGGGAGGCAGCAGUGAGGAAUAUUGGACAAUGGGCGCAAGCCUGAUCCAGCCAUGCCGCGUGCAGGAUGACGGUCCUAUGGAUUGUAAACUGCUUUUAUACAGGAAGAAACACUCGGACGUGUCCGAGCUUGACGGUACUGUAGGAAUAAGGAUCGGCUAACUCCGUGCCAGCAGCCGCGGUAAUACGGAGGAUCCAAGCGUUAUCCGGAAUCAUUGGGUUUAAAGGGUCCGUAGGCGGUCUAGUAAGUCAGUGGUGAAAGCCCAUCGCUCAACGGUGGAACGGCCAUUGAUACUGCUAGACUUGAAUUAUUAGGAAGUAACUAGAAUAUGUAGUGUAGCGGUGAAAUGCUUAGAGAUUACAUGGAAUACCAAUUGCGAAGGCAGGUUACUACUAAUAUAUUGACGCUGAUGGACGAAAGCGUGGGUAGCGAACAGGAUUAGAUACCCUGGUAGUCCACGCCGUAAACGAUGGAUACUAGCUGUUGGGAGCAAUCUCAGUGGCUAAGCGAAAGUGAUAAGUAUCCCACCUGGGGAGUACGUUCGCAAGAAUGAAACUCAAAGGAAUUGACGGGGGCCC